RNAcentral lists this ribosomal RNA (320 nucleotides) under uncultured Penardia. Its description in RNAcentral is "SSU rRNA". It matches the Rfam family "Eukaryotic small subunit ribosomal RNA", at positions 634 to 955 of the family's 1831-position model. The record is from RNAcentral.
AACUUUUGGUCUUCGAACUCGGCGCAUUUCUUCGGAAGCGCGUCGGUCAGUUUGCGGGCCAUAUUUCUGGAAAGUACUUCUUCACUUGAUUGUGUGGCUGUAUGCUCCGGAUCAUUUACUGUGAGUAAAUGAAAGUGUUCAAAGCAGGCUCUUACAAGCCUGAAUCGUUUAGCAUGGAAUAAUAAAAUAGAACUUCGGAUCUAUUUUGUUGGCUUCUAGAUUCAAAGUAAUGAUCUAUAGGGAUAGUUGGGGGUGCUCAUAUUCAGGGGGAAGCGGUGAAAUGCAAUGAUCCUCUGAAGAUGAACUAAUGCGAAAGCAUU